RNAcentral lists this ribosomal RNA (253 nucleotides) under uncultured bacterium. RNAcentral's name for it is "partial 16S ribosomal RNA". It matches the Rfam family "Bacterial small subunit ribosomal RNA", at positions 524 to 776 of the family's 1533-position model. The record is from RNAcentral.
UACGGGGGGGGCAAGCGUUGUUCGGAAUUACUGGGCGUAAAGGGCUCGUAGGCGGCCAACUAAGUCAGACGUGAAAUCCCUCGGCUUAACCGGGGAACUGCGUCUGAUACUGGAUGGCUUGAGUUUGGGAGAGGGAUGCGGAAUUCCAGGUGUAGCGGUGAAAUGCGUAGAUAUCUGGAGGAACACCGGUGGCGAAGGCGGCAUCCUGGACCAACACUGACACUGAUGAGCGAAAGCCAGGGGAGCAAACGGG